GACGAACGCUGGCGGCGUGCCUAACACAUGCAAGUCGAGCGAGUGGAUCUCCUUCGGGAGUGAAGCUAGCGGCGGACGGGUGAGUAACACGUGGGCAACCUGCCUCAUAGAGGGGAAUAGCCUUUCGAAAGGAAGAUUAAUACCGCAUAAGAUUGUAACUUCGCAUGAAGUAGCAAUUAAAGGAGCAAUCCGCUAUGAGAUGGGCCCGCGGGGCAUUAGCUAGUUGGUGAGGUAACGGCUCACCAAGGCGACGAUGCGUAACCGACCUGAGAGGGUGAUCGGCCACAUUGGGACUGAGACACGGCCCAGACUCCUACGGGAGGCAGCAGUGGGGAAUAUUGCACAAUGGGGGAAACCCUGAUGCAGCAACGCCGCGUGAGUGAUGACGGCCUUCGGGUUGUAAAGCUCUGUCUUCAGGGACGAUAAUGACGGUACCUGAGGAGGAAGCCACGGCUAACUACGUGCCAGCAGCCGCAGUAA
RNAcentral lists this ribosomal RNA (480 nucleotides) under uncultured bacterium. RNAcentral describes it as "partial 16S ribosomal RNA". It matches the Rfam family "Bacterial small subunit ribosomal RNA", at positions 28 to 523 of the family's 1533-position model. The record is from RNAcentral.